RNAcentral lists this ribosomal RNA (496 nucleotides) under uncultured bacterium. RNAcentral describes it as "partial 16S ribosomal RNA". It matches the Rfam family "Bacterial small subunit ribosomal RNA", at positions 29 to 507 of the family's 1533-position model. The record is from RNAcentral.
AUGAACGCUGGCGGCGUGCCUAAUACAUGCAAGUCGAGCGAACAGAUAAGGAGCUUGCUCCUUUGACGUUAGCGGCGGACGGGUGAGUAACACGUGGGUAACCUACCUAUAAGACUGGGAUAACUUCGGGAAACCGGAGCUAAUACCGGAUAACAUUUGGAACCGCAUGGUUCUAAAGUGAAAGACGGUUUUGCUAUCACUUAUAGAUGGACCCGCGCCGUAUUAGCUAGUUGGUAAGGUAACGGCUUACCAAGGCGACGAUACGUAGCCGACCUGAGAGGGUGAUCGGCCACACUGGAACUGAGACACGGUCCAGACUCCUACGGGAGGCAGCAGUAGGGAAUCUUCCGCAAUGGGCGAAAGCCUGACGGAGCAACGCCGCGUGAGUGAUGAAGGGUUUCGGCUCGUAAAACUCUGUUAUUAGGGAAGAACAAAUGUGUAAGUAACUGUGCACGUCUUGACGGUACCUAAUCAGAAAGCCACGGCUAACUACGUG